UACUAUUACAAAGCCAACUGAAAAACG
Molecule: non-coding RNA, 27 nt
Filed under: Bombyx mori (domestic silkworm)
Lineage: Eukaryota; Metazoa; Arthropoda; Insecta; Lepidoptera; Bombycidae
Source: RNAcentral